RNAcentral lists this ribosomal RNA (497 nucleotides) under uncultured bacterium. RNAcentral describes it as "partial 16S ribosomal RNA". It matches the Rfam family "Bacterial small subunit ribosomal RNA", at positions 28 to 507 of the family's 1533-position model. The record is from RNAcentral.
GAUGAACGCUGGCGGCGUGCCUAAUACAUGCAAGUCGAGCGAACGGACGAGAAGCUUGCUUCUCUGAUGUUAGCGGCGGACGGGUGAGUAACACGUGGAUAACCUACCUAUAAGACUGGGAUAACUUCGGGAAACCGGAGCUAAUACCGGAUAAUAUUUUGAACCGCAUGGUUCAAAAGUGAAAGACGGUCUUGCUGUCACUUAUAGAUGGAUCCGCGCUGCAUUAGCUAGUUGGUAAGGUAACGGCUUACCAAGGCAACGAUGCAUAGCCGACCUGAGAGAGUGAUCGGCCACACUAGAACUGAGACACGGUCCAGACUCCUACGGGAGGCAGCAGUAGGGAAUCGUCCGCAAUGGGCGAAAGCCUGACGGAGCAACGCCGCGUGAGUGAUGAAGGUCUUCGGAUCGUAAAACUCUGUUAUUAGGGAAGAACAUAUGUGUAAGUAACUGUGCACAUCUUGACGGUACCUAAUCAGAAAGCCACGGCUAACUACGUG